RNAcentral lists this ribosomal RNA (993 nucleotides) under Microbacterium sp. Its description in RNAcentral is "bacterial SSU rRNA". It matches the Rfam family "Bacterial small subunit ribosomal RNA", at positions 534 to 1533 of the family's 1533-position model. The record is from RNAcentral. Lineage: Bacteria; Bacillati; Actinomycetota; Actinomycetes; Micrococcales; Microbacteriaceae.
GAGGGCGCGUAUCGGAUUAUUGGGCGUAAGAGCUCGUAGGCGGUUUGUCGCGUCUGCUGUGAAAUCCCGAGGCUCAACCUCGGGCCUGCAGUGGGUACGGGCAGACUAGAGUGCGGUAGGGGAGAUUGGAAUUCCUGGUGUAGCGGUGGAAUGCGCAGAUAUCAGGAGGAACACCGAUGGCGAAGGCAGAUCUCUGGGCCGUAACUGACGCUGAGGAGCGAAAGGGUGGGGAGCAAACAGGCUUAGAUACCCUGGUAGUCCACCCCGUAAACGUUGGGAACUAGUUGUGGGGUCCAUUCCACGGAUUCCGUGACGCAGCUAACGCAUUAAGUUCCCCGCCUGGGGAGUACGGCCGCAAGGCUAAAACUCAAAGGAAUUGACGGGGACCCGCACAAGCGGCGGAGCAUGCGGAUUAAUUCGAUGCAACGCGAAGAACCUUACCAAGGCUUGACAUAUACGAGAACGGGCCAGAAAUGGUCAACUCUUUGGACACUCGUAAACAGGUGGUGCAUGGUUGUCGUCAGCUCGUGUCGUGAGAUGUUGGGUUAAGUCCCGCAACGAGCGCAACCCUCGUUCUAUGUUGCCAGCACGUAAUGGUGGGAACUCAUGGGAUACUGCCGGGGUCAACUCGGAGGAAGGUGGGGAUGACGUCAAAUCAUCAUGCCCCUUAUGUCUUGGGCUUCACGCAUGCUACAAUGGCCGGUACAAAGGGCUGCAAUACCGUGAGGUGGAGCGAAUCCCAAAAAGCCGGUCCCAGUUCGGAUUGAGGUCUGCAACUCGACCUCAUGAAGUCGGAGUCGCUAGUAAUCGCAGAUCAGCAACGCUGCGGUGAAUACGUUCCCGGGUCUUGUACACACCGCCCGUCAAGUCAUGAAAGUCGGUAACACCUGAAGCCGGUGGCCUAACCCUUGUGGAGGGAGCCGUCGAAGGUGGGAUCGGUAAUUAGGAUAAUCUAGGGGGGGGGAGCCCGAAAAAAAAAACCAAGAAAGGAGA